GACGAACGCUGGCGGCGUGCUUAACACAUGCAAGUCGAACGGAAAGGCCCUGCUCUUGUGGGGUGCUCGAUUGGCGAACGGGUGAGUAACACGCGAGUAACCUGCCCUUGACUUUGGGAUAACUCCAGGAAACUGGGGAGAAUAUCGGAUAGGAGCUCUUGCUGCAUGGUGGGGGUAGGAAAGAUUCGGCGGUUGGGGAUGGACUCGCGGCUUAUCAGCUUGUUGGUGGGGUAGUGGCUGACCAAGGCUUUGACGGGUAGCCGGCCUGGGAGGGUGACCGGGCACAUUGGGACUGCGAUACGGCCCAGACUCCUACGGGAGGCAGCAGUGGGGAAUAUUGCACAAUGGGCGGACGCCUGAUGCAGCAGCGCUGCGUGCGGAAUGACGGCCUUCGGGUUGUAAACCGCUUUCGCCUGUGACGAAGCGUGCGUGACGGUAAUUGGUAAAGAAGCACCGGCUAACUACGUG
This 468-nucleotide ribosomal RNA is filed under the name uncultured bacterium. RNAcentral describes it as "partial 16S ribosomal RNA". It matches the Rfam family "Bacterial small subunit ribosomal RNA", at positions 28 to 507 of the family's 1533-position model. The record is from RNAcentral.